CUCAAUCAUUUUCUCAAUCACUCAAUCAUUCCCGUUUGCCAUCGCUCAAUAUUUGAAUCGAAUUUGUAGCAUCUAAUUUAUUUCAAGAUUCGCUUUGCAGCGUUAGCAGUUGCAGCCACAAAAUUCCAGUUACAUGCAACAUUAUAAAAUCGUUUACCGCAGUGUUAACCGAAACAACAAUGAACCGAAUAUUUGUGUGCAUCUAUGUGCGCGUGUGUGUUUGCGCAUGCGAGCAAGCAUUUGUGUGUAUAUUAUGUGGUCGAAAUGGCAGAUAAGCAAAAACAUUUGUACGUAACAAAACCAUCAGUCACGUCGAGCAUACACCGAACUAAGCAUUUUAUUGAAUAAAUUAGUUUUUAAGCUUCGAAGCACAAAAAAAAAAUUGCAUAUCUUUAUUUGCAUGCAUAUGUAAGUACAUGUGUCAUGUAACAAUUCCUAAACCAAUAAAAAUUGGCUUGGCUGUAAAAUUAAACAAAUAUUUGUUAUCAACUACGAGGUUGGUUUAGAAUUGGCUUGCUAUACCAUUAAAACAGAGCUCAUUGAAAGACUCUUUUAUCUAGUUGGUUUGGAUCUGCUGCAUAUACAUAAAUGUAUGUAUACAAUACGCUGCUGCAACAACUGCCCAUAGAUGAGUUCAUUCGGAACGUAGCAGCAAAUUCUGCUUUCAGGAUAAAGGAACUGGAAAGAAUAUAGACAUAGCACCAUCCUGAAUCAGCUUAAUAGUAAAUCAAGGUUAGAUUUCAAGGUAGUAGGCAAAGCUAGUGGCCUCUUCAGACGUAUCCGAGGCGUAGUUAAUGCUAUGCCCAAUGAGCAAGAUCAAAAGACAGCUUUAUGUGCAUUUUAUACAAAUAGUUUAGAACAGAUAGAAAACAAUAACUGCAAAUUAACAAAGCAGAUAUGGCCUAAGUAUGGCAAGUAUAGAACCAAGAACUUAUUAAAUAGGUCCAGAAAUUAUAUAUAUAGACCUACAGCGACUAUAACGGAUACUGGCCUUUUGGAGAGCUAGAAGGGAAUAAGGGAAUAAGCUCAGCCCUAUCACAAUCUUGAUACAAAAUACUUGUAACCCAUCAGGCACCAAACCUUAAAUGGUUAUCCACAAAAAGCACAACGGAUGUAAGUAGUUUCAUUGAGAGCACCAAGUGGUUUGAGCGCAACGAUGAAACGCGAUAGCAAAAGCCUAAAUAUCCUACGUUCAAACUCUACAUUACUAGAUAACUUGCUGUGGAAAUAAAAGUCAUUUUUUAAACAGGCUACGGAAAUAUACGGAACAAGUCUGAUGUAGACGAUAUACCCAACAGAAGAGACUUCAAUUAUCUUUAGAUGUCGUAUCUUUUUAUGGAUUUCGUUUUUAAUAAUACGAAGGUUCGCCGCCUGGAACUUUUAAUUGUCUUGGAAGUAACAGUUCCUUUUGGUAUUAUACAAUAAUUAAAUCAACAUAACAACAGACGAAAAAUAAUAUUAUUAUUUACAUAAUCGGAAGGAGACCACGCUGCUACUGAGUAGCAUUUAUGUGUUCAUAAAUUCCAAAGGCUUGAGAUGAAUUCGAGGUUGAAUCUAAAGAAAGCCGGUAAUCAAUGAUCUUUGGAUCAAUAAAUAUCCUGGAAACUCAGGGUUAAAAAAUACGGCCAGGAAGAAAAAGAGAGUAUAGUCCCUCUUUUAAACAGAUCUUAUUGUGAAAUCUAAAAAUCCCUGAGUUGAGGUUAUAAUAAUUAUAGCCAUCAGGCGAAUAUCACGGAUGUUAGUGAUAUUGAGUUACAACUUUUAAGUGGUCCAUUGAAGUGAGAGGCUGGAAACACCACGGUGUUGGAUCGGUCAGGGUUAUUGUUUCAGUUAGUUAAAAGAUCCCAAAUAAUAAAGGGUCCUACAAAUUUGAAACCCGCUCCGGAAGACACGUAUUUUAUGAAGAGCCCUUAGAUGACAGUAAUUCACUCGAAGUUUUAAAAUUUUCUGAAACUAAAUCUAUCAGCUGCUUGAGAAUGGAAGGAUCUGAGAAAAAGUUUUCUGAAAGAAAGGGAAAGCUGUUCGCUGGCAUCGCCAAUGGGAAUACAAAGGUAUCGGCUUAUUCUUAAGAUGGACGGAGCUAUGAAGGAAUCAAAUGCGAAUAUGACUAAAUGACCAAAGAUAUUUAUUCCAGUGUUGGUUUGUGACACUGAACAGUUGUUGACUUUUCCUUAGCAGAUAUGAACGCGAAGAAUGGUAUAAACAGGAGAUCGAUAUUAGAAAGAAAUUUUUAUAGUUUCAUAUUUUAAUUCAGUCGGCAUUUUCUGAAUUCCCAACCCAAUUACGCAUUAAAAUAACUCGCUUACUCAAGCUACAAUACUUCGCCCUUAGAGGCAAUCUUCAAAAUCCAGCUCUUAGGUUGAGCGAGUACAGCUCAAAGAAUUUAAGUUCACUUGAAAAACGUUGCAUUUUAACAGAUUUAUUUAGAAACUUUUGUGGUAAUGCAAUAACAAAUAAAUAAAAGAAAUUAAAGGCAAGAAAAAACUAUUUAAAAUACUUAAA
This is a non-coding RNA of Bactrocera oleae (olive fruit fly), 2502 nucleotides long. NCBI's taxonomy places the organism in Eukaryota, Metazoa, Arthropoda, Insecta, Diptera, Tephritidae. The record is from RefSeq and is a predicted model, not a curated record.